UCGGGAAACUUUUGCAAUACACGUAAGUGUGACAAAGCAAGCCAGAGUGCUUCUCUUUUUUGAGAAGCUUUUGUGAGAUGUAAAAAGUCUUACGAAUAAGGACUGGGCAAGACUGGUGCCAGCCGCCGCGGUAAUCCCAGCAGUCCAAGUCGCAGCCACAUUUGUUGGGUCUAAAAUAUCCGUAGCUUGCCUUUCAAGUCUUUUGUGAAAUCGGGACUCUUAAGGUUCCGGCGGGCAAAAGAUACUGUAAGGCUAGAGACCGGGAGGCGUAAGAAGUACGGAUGGGGUAACGGUAAAAUGUGUUGAUCCCAUUUGGACUAACAGUCGCGAAGGCGUCUUACGAGAACGGUUCUGACAGUGAGGGAUGAAGGCUAGGGGCGCAAAGUGGAUUAGAUACCCCUGUAGUCC
Molecule: ribosomal RNA, 408 nt
Filed under: uncultured bacterium
Lineage: Bacteria
Description: bacterial SSU rRNA
Rfam family: Archaeal small subunit ribosomal RNA
Source: RNAcentral